This 253-nucleotide ribosomal RNA is filed under the name uncultured bacterium. Its description in RNAcentral is "partial 16S ribosomal RNA". It matches the Rfam family "Bacterial small subunit ribosomal RNA", at positions 524 to 776 of the family's 1533-position model. The record is from RNAcentral.
UACGAAGGGUGCAAACGUUGCUCGGAAUUAUUGGGCGUAAAGCGCACGUAGGCGGCUUUGCAAGUCCCAUGUGAAAUCCCACGGCUCAACCGUGGAAGUGCAUGGGAAACUGCAGAGCUUGAGUACUUAAGAGGAUCGCGGAACUCCCGGUGUAGAGGUGAAAUUCGUAGAUAUCGGGAGGAACACCAGUGGCGAAGGCGGCGAUCUGGGAAGAUACUGACGCUGAGGUGCGAAAGCGUGGGGAGCAAACAGG